AUGGAAACCGGCCGGCAAUUCAGCUGACACGUAGCAAAAAAACUCCGUCUCUCACUGUUGUUUUUACUGCUUUCAGAAAUGGUUCAGUGUCAUCACAACCGUGAGCUAACCAGAGGCUAACUAUAAGAGUCUUCCAUGCUGAUGGCCGUGCAGCAGAGUUGGAGGGGACCUCUUGUCGAAGAACAUCUCCAAGACACUAUGAGCAUCUGACUAGCUUUUUGUGAAGACAGAAAAUCAAGAGAUGUUGUGACAACCUGGACAGAAUUCAGCUCCAGAUCCAGCCUCCACACCAGACUUCUCACGCACAAGGACUGCUGUCUACUAGCAUAUUAUGUGUUCUCUUUAGAGUUAGGUGCAUGUAGAUAUUACCUGAUUUUUAGAUAUAAU
This is a long non-coding RNA of Onychostoma macrolepis, 387 nucleotides long. RefSeq lists it as uncharacterized. The record is from RefSeq and is a predicted model, not a curated record. The transcript is spliced from 4 exons. Lineage: Eukaryota; Metazoa; Chordata; Actinopteri; Cypriniformes; Cyprinidae.